Molecule: long non-coding RNA, 269 nt
Organism: Daphnia pulex (common water flea)
Lineage: Eukaryota; Metazoa; Arthropoda; Branchiopoda; Diplostraca; Daphniidae
Exons: 3
Source: RefSeq, a predicted model, not a curated record
ACUACACUAGUCCAAUGGUUCGCGAUUUGACUAGAACAAAUGAAGACCGAUUAACGAUCAUCAAUACAGGAAUUAAAAUGUUCGCGCGCAGUGAAAACAAAGGCAUCGAUUGUGGAUAUCGUAUCGCCCAGGAGGGUGCGCUAGCAAUGAUGGAGUUCAUGAAGAAGAGACGAGUACUAAUCGCAAGAGAUGAUAUCGUCGUCUGCUGAGUCGCGCCCACUGAGGCAGCACCAAAUUUAGCUCCCGACAAUUUCAAUGAUUCUAGUAGU